Molecule: long non-coding RNA, 207 nt
Filed under: Capsicum annuum
Lineage: Eukaryota; Viridiplantae; Streptophyta; Magnoliopsida; Solanales; Solanaceae
Description: long non-coding RNA (CANN_LNC011069)
Source: RNAcentral
GGGUCUGGGGUCUGGGCGUGUUGUGGGCCGAAAAUCGAUCGGAGCGUGCCAUAGAGGUUGGGGAUCGUCCCAGUGUGGUCCAUUUAAAUUUUCGUGUCCAUUUGGGUGGACAAAACGGAUGAAGCGACGCGAACGGUACAAUUUCGGGCCAAAUCAGUGUGCUAUAGACCACAAUUUCGGGGGUGGGCCCGCGGUCCGGGCGUGCUG